RNAcentral lists this ribosomal RNA (721 nucleotides) under uncultured bacterium. RNAcentral describes it as "bacterial SSU rRNA". It matches the Rfam family "Bacterial small subunit ribosomal RNA", at positions 397 to 1109 of the family's 1533-position model. The record is from RNAcentral.
CCGCGUGAGUGAUGAAGGUUUUCGGAUCGUAAAACUCUGUUGUUAGGGAAGAACAAGUACGAGAGUAACUGCUCGUACCUUGACGGUACCUAACCAGAAAGCCACGGCUAACUACGUGCCAGCAGCCGUGGUAAUACGUAGGUGGCAAGCGUUGUCCGGAAUUAUUGGGCGUAAAGCGCGCGCAGGCGGUUUCUUAAGUCUGAUGUGAAAGCCCACGGCUCAACCGUGGAGGGUCAUUGGAAACUGGGAAACUUGAGUGCAGAAGAGGAGAGUGGAAUUCCACGUGUAGCGGUGAAAUGCGUAGAGAUGUGGAGGAACACCAGUGGCGAAGGCGGCUCUCUGGUCUGUAACUGACGCUGAGGCGCGAAAGCGUGGGGAGCGAACAGGAUUAGAUACCCUGGUAGUCCACGCCGUAAACGAUGAGUGCUAAGUGUUAGAGGGUUUCCGCCCUUUAGUGCUGAAGUCAACGCAUUAAGCACUCCGCCUGGGGAGUACGGUCGCAAGACUGAAACUCAAAGGAAUUGACGGGGGCCCGCACAAGCGGUGGAGCAUGUGGUUUAAUUCGAAGCAACGCGAAGAACCUUACCAGGUCUUGACAUCCUCUGACACUCCUAGAGAUAGGACGUUCCCUUCGGGGACAGAGUGACAGGUGGUGCAUGGUUGUCGUCAGCUCGUGUCGUGAGAUGUUGGGUUAAGUCCCGCAACGAGCGCAACCCUUGAU